This 366-nucleotide non-coding RNA is filed under the name Pan troglodytes (chimpanzee). The record is from RNAcentral. Lineage: Eukaryota; Metazoa; Chordata; Mammalia; Primates; Hominidae.
CCAGCAGAGGUGGGCUGGACACUGCUCCUGGCAAAGCUGGCCGGGAAGAUGCAGCCCGUGGGACACUCCCCACCACCACUCUCACUGUCUGACUGACUGCGAAGCUUCACAGACCAGAAGGUUCAUUCCUCACAACAAAAGGAAAACCCUGGUCUGACACUACUGUUCUGAAAUUUAACAGCCAGUUGGGUCCAGCAGCUUUGCCUCUCUACCCUUUCAUCACCAAAGUAUACUGCUGAGAAAGAAUCACAUGAAAAGAAAAAAGACUCAACAAGACCUCACUCAUAUUAACUGGACUCUACAAGCAGUGAGCAUCCAGACCUGCAUUUGGUUACAAAAGAAGCCUUCAAGCUAUUUUCAUCAGCU